Molecule: long non-coding RNA, 679 nt
Filed under: Phasianus colchicus (ring-necked pheasant)
Lineage: Eukaryota; Metazoa; Chordata; Aves; Galliformes; Phasianidae
Description: lncRNA (ENSPCLG00000022032.1)
Source: RNAcentral
CACAGCAUGCCAAGCCAAGCAUCACGCUCUGCCCUCUCUCCCCUCACAGCGCUGCGCAGCUGCUUCCAGAGAAGCAGAAGAGCAGCCUCCUGUACGCCUGCAUCAGCAGCGUCUUUCACCUCCCUCGCCACGAGGACACAGAGGACCCGGACACUGCACUCUACACGGAGGUGCGCAAAGGCUGGGCCCUGGAGACGCUUCCUGGGCACCGCCACCUGGGAUGCCUCUCUGCUGCGAGCAGGAUGCAGCAGGGAAGGCCGCCCUGACCCCUGUCCUCCUUGCAGACCAUGGAAGCCCUGCACCGCCUGCUGCAGGGGCUGGUGGGCAGGGCCGGCGCCUCUGUCCUCAUGGAGCUGCAGAACAUCUUGGAGCUCCUGCUGCCCUUCACCAUGUGCCAGCUGGCAGCCGUGGAGGAGAGGGCCGUGGCGUGCAUUGCUAGGCUGCUCACCUUCACCAACACCUGCUGCUUGCCUGAGAUGUGCUGCUGCCUCAUAGGAGUCACGGUGUUCCAGCACAAGUGCAAGGAGAACCAACGCUUCCCCAUGCUGGGGAAGCUGGCCGCACACCUCAUCCUGUGCUGCACCUCCACGGAUGAGGCGACCAGAGAUGAGGCGAUGAAGGCUGUCCAUCAGCUUUUCAUCUUCAUCACCAGCCCAAGUGAGAGGAGUUGUGAUGGGCU